RNAcentral lists this transfer RNA (69 nucleotides) under Ictidomys tridecemlineatus (thirteen-lined ground squirrel). Its description in RNAcentral is "Spermophilus tridecemlineatus (thirteen-lined ground squirrel) tRNA". It matches the Rfam family "tRNA". From Rfam's summary of the family: Transfer RNA (tRNA) molecules are approximately 80 nucleotides in length. Lineage: Eukaryota; Metazoa; Chordata; Mammalia; Rodentia; Sciuridae. The record is from Rfam by way of RNAcentral.
GGGUCUGUGGCUCAGUGGUAGAGCGCUCGCUUAGCAUGUGUGAGGCCCUGGGUUCGAUCCUAAGCACCA